RNAcentral lists this ribosomal RNA (465 nucleotides) under uncultured bacterium. RNAcentral's name for it is "bacterial SSU rRNA". It matches the Rfam family "Bacterial small subunit ribosomal RNA", at positions 32 to 507 of the family's 1533-position model. The record is from RNAcentral.
AAUCAACGCUGGCGGCGUGCCUCAGACAUGCAAGUCGAACGAUUAAAGCUCUCUUCGGAGAGUGUAUAGAGUGGCGCACGGGUGAGUAACACGUGAGUAAUCUACCCUCGAGUGGGGAAUAACAACCGGAAACGGUUGCUAAUACCGCAUAAUGCAGCGGCACCGCAAGGUGACAGUUGUUAAAGAUUUAUCGCUUGAGGAGGAGCUUGCGGCAGAUUAGCUAGUUGGUAGGGUAACGGCUUACCAAGGCUACGAUCUGUAACCGGUCUAAGAGGACGGUCGGUCACACUGACACUGAAUAACGGGUCAGACUCCUACGGGAGGCAGCAGUCGGGAAUUUUGGGCAAUGGGCGAAAGCCUGACCCAGCAACGCCGCGUGAAGGAUGAAGUAUUUCGGUAUGUAAACUUCGAAAGAAUAGGAAGAAUUAAUGACGGUACUAUUUAUAAGGUCCGGCUAACUACGUG